AGAGAAACAUACACAGGAUAUUGCCACCUGUCACUAAAAUGUGCUUGUUGAAAUCAACUGGAGUAUCCCUCAUCCUGUCCAUACUUCUAUUCAUCGCAGACUCUUACCCAAGCAGCGACAAGACAAACAUGUACAGGUUGCUGCUUCUCCAGAGCUUCUCCAACCCCACUACGGUCAAAGCAAACCAUGCUGGUCCCCAAGAACAUCCCCUCUGAAGCCACAUGCUGCAUUGCAAAAGAAGGGGAUAGGGUCACCACCAAGGAUGGCUUACCGGUGACGAAUCACACAGAGUGUCACUGCAGCACCUGUUAUUACCAUAAAUCAGAAACUGUCUGUAAGGGCCGGAAAUCUCCUUGUCGUAGAAGUAAAAGUUUGGCAACAGUUUAUAUAUUUUGCGCUAC
This is a long non-coding RNA of Oncorhynchus gorbuscha (pink salmon), 401 nucleotides long. RefSeq lists it as uncharacterized. The record is from RefSeq and is a predicted model, not a curated record. NCBI's taxonomy places the organism in Eukaryota, Metazoa, Chordata, Actinopteri, Salmoniformes, Salmonidae. The transcript has 4 exons.